GACGAAGGUUGCGAGCGUUGUUCGGAAUCACUGGGCUUAAAGCGCAUGUAGGUGGACCAGAAAGUAGUUUGUGAAAUCCCCCGGCUUAACCGGGGCAUUGCUUGCUAAACUACUGGUCUUGAGGCAAGUAGGGGUGCAUGGAACUCUUGGUGGAGCGGUGGAAUGCGUAGAUAUCAAGAGGAACGCCAGAGGUGAAAACGGUGCACUGGGCUUGUUCUGACACUGAGAUGCGAAAGCGUGGGGAG
This 245-nucleotide ribosomal RNA is filed under the name uncultured bacterium. RNAcentral describes it as "partial 16S ribosomal RNA". It matches the Rfam family "Bacterial small subunit ribosomal RNA", at positions 524 to 768 of the family's 1533-position model. The record is from RNAcentral.